This 462-nucleotide ribosomal RNA is filed under the name uncultured bacterium. Its description in RNAcentral is "partial 16S ribosomal RNA". It matches the Rfam family "Bacterial small subunit ribosomal RNA", at positions 29 to 507 of the family's 1533-position model. The record is from RNAcentral.
AACAAACGCUGGCGGCGUGCCUAAUACAUGCAAGUCGAACGGGGAAAGCUUUCGGGUGAGUACUAGUGGCGCACGGGUGAGGAACGCGUGGAUAAUCUGCCUUAGAGUGGGGGAUAACUAGUCGAAAGAUUAGCUAAUACCGCAUAAGACCACGAGAGCUGCGGCUUUUGAGGUCAAAGGUUUUUCGCUCUAAGAUGAGUCCGCGUAAGAUUAGCUAGUUGGUGAGGUAACGGCUCACCAAGGCGACGAUCUUUAACUGGUCUGAGAGGAUGAUCAGUCACACUGGAACUGAGACACGGUCCAGACUCCUACGGGAGGCGGCAGUAGGGAAUAUUGCACAAUGGAGGAAACUCUGAUGCAGCGACGCCGCGUGAGUGAUGAAGGACUUCGGGUCGUAAAGCUCUGUCGCAGGGGAAUAACACAAUGAAGGUACCCUGUAAGAAAGGAUCGGCUAACUUCGUG